GUUGCCUUGGGUGGGGUGGGUAAACCUCUUAGAAAACCAAACAGGAUCGACAAAGCAGAAAAAAAUGAAAGAAUCACGACAAGAUACAGUGCAAAAGUUCCAAUCAUGGGGGGGGUAGUGGGACUAAAGGGAACAGACCUCAGAAGCCAUACACUACUUGUGCUGUGGUCUCAGCUCCAGAGUCUGGGUUGAAUCCAAAACUUUUUCUUUUCUCCACAAGGGUUUUUGGUUGCUGCAGCAGCCUUAGGGUGGGUGGAAGUGGGAAUGGAAAAUGGAAAAUGGUCGAAAAGGGUCCCAUCUCAAGGUGUAUCCUUACAGGGUGGUGUCUGGUUCCAGAGGACAAAGGUACAUCCGACGCUCUUGAUAAGGCCAGGAAGACCUCAAGCUACACACGACCAACUCGCUGGGAGGACGCGACUUUUCAAUGCAUUCAUCCACUCAAUCAUUUUGUCCAGUCGUUUUGGUGCACCACCUCAGAGUGUUGGGUCCGAAGCACCCAUUAGAUGUGCGUCCCAGUAAACAGCUCCACAGCAAUCAUGCACAGAAUCAAAUACCAAGUAAAACUUUUACCUCGCUUUUGCAUCCCAAGCUCUGAACGCAUUGUGGUAGAUCAAGAUCUAGUAUGCAGUAUCCUCUGCUGUUUAAGAGAUGGUGAGUUCCUCCUCGUACUAGAUAAAAACAAAUUAACAAGUAAAAAGUAUAUGGUGAUGACAAUGGAAAACCAUAGACAUAGUGAGUCAAUCAUUAGCAGCAAAGGUCGAAACCCACGUUGCCCUACUCACAACCUUAUCAGCUGCAUAUCUGAAUAAGAUAGCACUGAGAAGGACUGAGAUGGAUGCCAAACUAAGAUGUCAUGAUAAAAAGAUCUCCAUCCAAAUUAAUCAGCGGCAUGACAACGCAAUAAGAAAUCAACGUAAUUGGCACUACUCUUAUUAAGAAACUAAAACUAAAACUAAAACCAUGUAUUUAUGAUCCUUCAUAAAUUAAUCCACUCCAACAACCAACGUCAAUCUACUGAAAACCUAGAAGAUAGGGAGGAGCAGGCUAGAGAAACUUGACGGUUCAUCAUGUUCUAUAUCCGAAUACCCUGCAAAGAUACUAAGGCGUCAUUUGAACAAUAUACUCUAUGUGCCUGUCAUAACUCUACUGGGGUUUUUUAAUAACAUUAAAGCUUGGAGAAGAAAGAAAGAAAAACUCAAAAAGGCAAGCAAAUAAGGUAUGGAAUUGAGUUUCCCAGAUGCAAUUCCCUCUAGACCAACAAAAAAAGGUAUCUUUACACAAGUUGACAAACUAAUAUGGACAAAUAUUCUGAUGAACUGGUGUGAUGUUUAAACUCAAAUAGCAAGGUAGAACUAUGCAUCAAAAAGUAGUUUAAGGUUGUUCAAAUUGCAGUCCCAAUCCGAGAUGCUACUGAACCCAGUUACAGAAAUCUGACCUGCAGUUGAUGCUAACAUUGGAUCCACUGGAAAAUUUGGAUCGUGAGUCCAGAUAUGAUAUGAGACCUUGACCUGGAAACAGACCCGAACUAAACCUAAAUCUAAUCUAUUCUACCCACUAGUCUGAUGGAUUAUGUAGGAUGUGGCAAAUAUAUCUACAUAUUUUAAUGUUCUGUAGGAUAACAGUAUAAUUGACUUCACUGUCUUUGAUGGACUUCUGAGGUACAUUCAUCUCUUCUAAAUGUUAUUACUAUUGUCUCUUGCAGCAUUUUUUUUCUUAUUUCUUUAAUUUUUUGUUUUCCUACAAUAAUUUCUUUAAUUUGUUUGAAUAAAAAUAUUAGACAUCAUCCACUCAUAAGUUGGUUCAUUUGUUAUUAAUUGUACUAGAUGUUGUGGGCUUAUUUUUGGAUCCAUGCUCAACAUGGACUUGGUCUCCUGUAUCCAGUCUAAUUCUGGAUCCAUGAUGGAAAACAUGAAUGGGCAAUGUCCUGGACCUACACCUUACCCAAUGCUCAGAUCAGAUUUGGGUUCAGGUGUAGGUGACAUCCAAUCAACCCAUUACCAUCACUACUAAAAGUCUCCAUCACUGGUGACAGAUAUUGACAACAAGUUUAGACAAGAGAUGGACCUAUCUAAAAACUCAGAAUAUUAAAUUAAAAGAACUUCAUAAACUUAAGCUAAUUUAACCAAGAGACCAUUCUCCUAGGAGUUACUGUGAGAAACAAAAUUAAUAUUCCAACAUGCAUAAGACAAUGAACCAGUCAAGCAAAAUCAAUGACAACAAGAUAAUCAGAUUUUUCUGAUUAAAACAUGCAUUUUGAGCUGUUGAUAUAUUGUACUUCCUGCAUUAGUCUUCGGAAUGAAAAUGCAUAUUUGAAGUGACACAUUAUCUUGCUAGCAUUUUCUUGCCAAAUUUUAACCCACACAAAUGUCUCUUCUGUUCUAUCAUAGAUAAUUUAAAAUUUAUAAUAAGCACAAAACAUUUAACCAAGUAAUGAUAGUUAUCUAAGCAAUCAUGGAAAUGUGUGAAUACUGAUCACCGAUCUACUUAAAUAAUAAAGGCUUACAGUAGGGCAGUUCAAUUGCUGGAAAUAGAAUGGCACCACCAACAGAGGUAAAGUAUCCAUUAAAUAAAACAGGUUUCCAAAUUACACGCAUUACAUUCUUAAAAUCUAUUGACAUGCUUGGAAAAUGUUGUUGGUCCUUGAACAGCUUCAGAAUUGCAGAUAAGGCGAAAAGGGUACACAGAGGCCUAAAUUAUAAGGUGCCUCACAGCUUCAAAAUUGUGGAUAAGUAAAACUGGGUCCACGGAGACCUAAGCUAUAAGGUGCUUCACAGCAGUUGCUCUCAUGUCACUAAAUCUGGGCAUUACUGGCAAAAGAUCCACAUAAUAAACCCAUGAGCACCAGACAGAUGAGCAUGGAGAACAUAAUGGGUUAUAACAAAGUAAUUGCUCUACACAAUAGAAACAAAUGCAAGGUGUUCCAUGAAACGACAUAUUACACAACCUAGUAUCCAAAAUGCACAACCUGACAGUCUUCUAGAAUGAUAUCAACCAUGACCACUAGGCAUUGUUCAAGUUUGGUGCUACUGAGAUGCUUUCCUUGAAAGCAUGUAGCCAAUUAUUCUUUACAAUUAGCAUUAACAGGUCAGAUCUUCAAAGACAUUUCUAUCCUCAUUCUCACAGGACACUAGUGCAAUAGGAUAUGUGAUCGCUCGAGUCAAAUGGACCCGUGGUAUAAAACAAUCGCCAUCAAGUAUAUUUUAAGCCAAAACGCACACUUGAGUCAUACAUAUAUUAACAGAACUUUACUAGAUGCUGACAGGCUUUGUGAAAUUUUUACUUAAAUUAACAUACGUAGCGACAUAUAUUUAACAAGAAAGGAACCAAAUCAAUACCAAACAACAUAUAUUGCACAUUAGGGACCAAAUCCUAUUCACUUGUGCAGAAGUCUUCCAAAGACCACCAUUCCCAAAGCAUAUGCCAAUGGGAUUGUAAAUUCAUAAAGAUUUUACCUAAAGCAAAAGCCAAUCAUAAAGUUGUGCUUUUCAUGCAAAGUUCAAAUAUAUGGACAGUUUACCAAACUGUGGUAAGAAAGAUACCUGAUAGAUGUACAUGUGAGUUUCCAACUAGUAGAUUCCACCUUUAAGUGAACCUAUACAGAUUUUCUCAUUUCCAUCAUCAUCAACUCCAGUCUAUCAAAACCCUAAUUUUCUUACAAGGAUAAGAACCCCGUUAUUCACCCUAUGCUUCUUUAUCAUGUGAAACAGAUCAAUUAAAUGAAUUUUCAUCCACAAAGUUAGUGUAAAAUUGCAUAGUGUUAUUGUACAUCCUAAAACUUCUGAACAUCAGUUCUUUUCCACGCCUGAAUCCAUGCUACCCAAUUACCAUGACGACCAAUAUCCGGUUACAACUGUUAUUAGAAAUUAAAAAAAAACAUUGACACAAACUCAAAGUGGGCUAGUUUUCGUUGCUAUAACACAAAUUUUGACUUACAUGCUUGGAUUACUUAUCUAAAACAACAUUAUAGACCUAUACCAGCUCAAUUAAUUAAUUAACCAUCUUAGAGACUUGAGAUUAACAAUCUUCCAAGUCCUGACAGUUGUGCUGCUCUAAAAGGCUCACCAAAUGAUUAACAACUACAUUAGCCAUGAAUGGGUUUUCUUCUUCAAGUUAGCACACGUUACUACGUAUAUAUGUUUGAGAAGGUUAUGUCAAUCAGAAACUGACUAAAAUGAGGUGAAUUCAAGAUACUACUGACUACUGAGUACCCCAAAACACAAACUUUUUCCAUCUAUAAUUCAACAUAACAUAUGGCAGCCAUCAUUUUGAUCACAAAUGAUAGAAGAAAGAUAAUUGUACUGAAAUCAGUGAACUGAACAUUUAAAGAAUGGUAUAAAAAAAAAUUUAACCAGCUGACAUGUCUAUUUUCCUAGUACUUCAGCAGUUUGCUCUUGCAAAUACAGAUAGUCCAUAACCAAAAUAAUAAUAAUAAUAAUAAUAUAAUUACUGUAGAUAAUGACUACAAAGUACGGGGAGACAGAAGGGACAGAAUACAUACCCAAGAAGAACUCGAACAAUCUGUUGAUUGCCGCAUAAUGUACCCCAAUAAAUUCCUUUCAUGAAUUUUAUGUCAAAACACAAAAUUAUUUAGGAAAAAUAAUAAUCAAUGGGUUGUGCCCAGUCUUCUUUGAGCAACAACGUUUUUAGUGUAUUCAUGAUGUCAAAGUCAGGAUCUAGCUUGCGUUGCCAGCCCUACAAAGAUAUAAAUAGAAAUUUUAAGAAACAUUUUACUCCGAAAACAUUUUUUUUUCCCAAAUUAAAAUCUGGAGCUGUAGCAUAUAAAACAUACAUACAAAAAAUAUUGUUGAAUUCACAUAGGAGACAUACUACCACAAAUUUGUUCUUAAGGAAAAGAGUAACUGCAUUACCCCUUCAACUCCCACAUUUCCAGUAUAAACCAUUUCAAAAACAAUACAAACACAAACCAUCAAGAGGACAACACUUUUAAGGUGAGAAGCAACUACCUCAGUAAGUGCAACUUGACAAAUGUACAGUAAUAAAGAAUAGAAAAAUCAUGUCAGUAUGAAAACAAUCAAGAUUUUUGUCAAAAGUGGUUCCUGAGCACUUAUCCUUUUUUCCAAAAGAUAAAACAAAUUAUAUUACUUCAGAGCCCAGUUCAUCAGAGCGUAGCACAUCAAGGAACUCAGGGAAAACUUAAUUUCCAGAAGAAAUCAGUUUUACAAUUAUUGGCCUUUGAGGCUAACCAAUGGACACAUUGGGUAGCUUCUCUAGGUACAUGAGUUACCAUAAUUUCCUCGAAGGAUUCCAUGGCCAACAAAAUAUUACUAACCAAGUUGGUCAAAAACCAUGAAGGAUGAUUUGCUUGGUUAAGAUUCGAGCUAAACAUUCAGGCAUCCAUCUCAAUAUGCAGCUUUGGAAUUCCUUCUUCCAAAGCAGCAUUUAUCCCCUCCCAAACAGCCAGCGUCUCAUUUAGCCAGCAACUUCCACCCUGAACAUAUUUGCCACCAGCUCCCAAGCAGCAUCCUUGAGAGUUCCUUAGCACAAAGCCAGUGCUCCUUCCCUAGAUCCCUAGACAUUGAGACGUUGACUAAAUCAAGCACAAAGCAGCUGCUUGAUUAAGGUUCCUGGGCACUUGACUAAGACCAACGCCUAGGCCAAACCAGUGUUAAAUGAUUACUAAUUUUCCAUUUACUUAAUACCACAUACAUAUGUAUAUGUAUGCAUAGAUGCAUACAAAUAUAUACACACAUGUAUAGAGUAUAUGUCAACAUGUUUCAAAGUUAAUGUAGUUGAUGAAAAUACUGAGAUGGGGAUAACAAAAUGAUAAAAUCAGAAAAAUCAUUCAUGAUGAUAAAUGUUGAAUGGAAACUUAUCGAUGUCAUGGUUAGACUGGAUAAGCUAAUUCAAACUAAUCGUCCAAAAAAAGAUAGAGGGUGACUUAAGAAUACCCUUCUAGAAACAAUAAGAAAUGAUUUCAAAUCUUUUGGUUUAAGUAGGGAUAAAUAUAUAUAUAUAUAUAUAUAUAUAUAUAUAUNNNNNNNNNNNNNNNNNNNNAAAUAGGACUUUAUGAAAUUGUUNUUGUUACUUUUUAAAUUUCUCCUUUGAUUCAAGUAUUACAUAAGAUGCUAACUAUACACUUGUAAUAGCACACGAACUUCUGAACUCAUAAUUGUGUAUACUGUGGGUUAACUACUAGGAUGUCCUUGGAGAUGAAAUUGUUCUUGUUGCACAUACAUAUGCACAUACUUCUAUACACAUCCAAAAAACAUUUUUUAUACUUUUUAACCUUAAGUUGAAGAUAAAUUGAAUGUAUGGUUUCGAGCUUGAUGGAGUAGUCAUAAACAGCAUAAUGAUAGGUAUGCAUCUUUCCGAUGCCUUUUUUCUUCUCUUUACACAUUACUUAUUUGAUUGCUACCCAUGAGAUCUCACUUUUUCAUAGUUUAGCGACAUGUUGACACAUUGAGUUCAAUUUCUUGACUAAAUUGAUGUUGCAGAUUCCGAGACCAUUAACUAACACAACAAUGAUAUAUUGGUACAAAAUAUGAAAUGCAAUUACAUACUGACAUAUUUCACAAGGAAAUAAAGAGAACACAGAAGAAAAGCAACUAAGCAGUGCUAAUAUAUACGAUGUGAAAUACAUGAAUGCUGGACAGGAAAGUAUCAUUUCGUUACAUAGUGUAUGUGCCUGCUUUAUAAGUGAAUGUACCUCAAGAACCAGAAUGGUCACCAGCACGGUGCAUACAUUGCCAUCAACAUUGACUCUAUGACGCCGAACCUGUUCAAGAAGUUGGUGCAUGCAUUCAACAGGAUGAAAGAUAUCACCUUCACGGGUACCCCAAAAGGUGAAUGUCCUCUCCAACUCCUGUAGAUAGAAGUAAAAGUGUCAAUAUUGAAUGAAUAGUAUGUCAAAAAUGAAGAAGAUGAUUUACUAGUUACAUGGACAGGCAGGAAAAGUUUAUUUUCACAGUUUUCAAGCUCAUACUUCUUUAUCUCAACACUUGCAUUUUCCUAACAAAGAUCAUACUUUUGUACCUCACAUUUGGAAAUCUUAUGGUCUCAUUCAUUAGCCUGUAAGAUGCACUAGAAUUUCAUGAGUGCUACUUUAUCUCUGAGACAACAUGAACUUUUUCUGAAUUCAAGUUAUCCCACAAAUUAACAUAGGCCAUAUGAUUAAUUAGAAAACCAACUGAUAUUGGAUUGGCGUCAUUCUGUUGACUAUAAGUAAUAUGGAACAUGACAUAGAUUUAAAUAUUGAUAAGACCGGUAUUUACUAGUCCAAUAACCAACUGGUACAACUUACCAGUCAAGUAUGAAAUUGAUUGUGCCAUCUGGUAAGCUCAUUGUACCAGGCUCGUUGGAUUGUAAGUAGACUGAUACCAAGCUGUACUGGGCAAUAAACUUGUACCCUGGUUUGGAUUUUUUCGUUUUUUUAGAUUUGAGACGUGACAGCUGUCUCACAUUUCAUUUAGUAUGACAAUUGUUUUUCGUGUUCAGUACUUUUUCUCAAAUACAGUUAUUAAGAGAAGAACAACUGGAAUUAGUGCCGGACCAAGAUUUUGAUCCAUGUAACAUAAUGAAAGGAAAAGAAACACAGACUUUCUAUCAUCCAAAAUUUGCAUUGUGAUGCAUGUAAUUUCUUCUUGGAUGGAUGAUUCAUCGACGGCAACUAGUUUGAUUUAAAAGCAUGAAUAGUGAAAGAAUUAAUAUAAUGCUCUCAAAUACAAACCCAUGGCAACCAUAUUGCAUAGCAUUAAGAGGUAAGUGAUAGUUCAGAUAACUAUGACAAGCUUGGGAGUAAUCAUAAUAGCAUAGAGAACCAUGACAAAUGUAUCAUAAAUAAUUUGGGAAACAAAAAGGAAUUUUUGUUAGAACACAACUAUGACACAAUCAUCCAAUUAUAUAACUAUAAAAAAUUCUGAAAAUAUGCUUAAAAAGGUGACUGUAGAAAUAUAAAGUUAAUGUUAUAUAUUAUUUACAAAGGUGAAACUAGGUAACAUAGAUAAAAUUCAAGUCAGGUAUGUGCUUAGGUAGACUUCUUAGAUAAGAUCAGAACCCAGUUCCAAAAGUCCUAAUGUUUUUAUAUUUAGACCCACACCUAAACCCCAUGGACUUCGAAUUAAGGUUAUAGAGUACUGCCCAAGUCUCGCAGACAAAUAUAUUUGAUUAAACAAAUAAAACAAGUACCAAAAUUGCCCAUUAUUAGUAGGUAAUUAUCAGAACUGGGGUUCCUACAAAAUGCAAUAAGCAUUCCAGUUUACUUUCCCUUUCUCUUUCUCAUUGCGCUGGAUGCCCUUAUGUUCUUAGCAUCAAAUUGAUAUUAUUUCCUCCAUGUAAUUAAUUUAUAAAACUUCUUCUCAGCCUCUUUAGUUCAAGUGCUAGCCACCCCAUGCCCUACCAUCAAUCAUGUAUUUUAAUUGCCACCAUGGCAACAACAAUAACUACCCAUCCAUAACCAAACAGCUCAAUCUCAAUCCUGAAGAAAAUGACCUGUAGGCAUAAGAUAAUCAUUUGACAUGAUCCACAAAUCAAGAAGAAGUUCUUCUUACUUCAUAUUGUCAGUAUCAUGUUUAUUUUGAUAAAAGGGCCUGAAUCAAAGUGAUUUGUUAGGCAUAACCAAACAGCUCAAUCUCAAUCCUGAAGAAAAUGACUUGCUAGGCAUAAGAUAAUCAUUUGACAUGAUCCACAAACCAAGAAUUCUUCUUACUUCACAUAGUCAGUAUCAUGUUUAUUUUGAUAAAAGAGCCUGAAUCAAAGUGCCAAUAACAUUAUAUUGAAUAGAAAAGGAAAAAAGACCAAAAUAAUUAAUCUUCUGAAAAGAAUUAGAUAGCUGAAACUGAAAUAUCACCUCAAUAAAGGCUUUUGGGUUCGGGCAACCUUGAUGCUGUGACAAUUUCAAUGUACAUUCUGCAGCAGUACGACCAUCUCGAAGAGAUACAGCUUUAAAGAACUCCAACAAAUUAGCACGGUCACUUUUAGAGAGUUCAACAGUCAUUCCUACAUCCAAGAAAAUGACAUGGGGCUUGGGUCUAAAUAUCUUCUUCCUCGACCUCUUGGUGUGUGGUACCCGCACAAGGAUAUUUCCAGGGUGCAUAUCCGCAUGAAUAAAAUUGUCAACCUAAAACAUGAAAAAAGAAGAAUUUUGGACUAUUGAAAUUUUACUAAUAAAGUUAAUGGACAAAAGCUGCAAAUGCAAUGUCAGACAUCAGCAUUCAACUUACACAUGGACAAAAAAAAAUCAUAUAAAUGAGCUUGGAAUAAAGUUGUGUCCAUAGUUUGACUAAUGUUCUCUUCAAAAUUGUACAUUUAUGACCAUGCAAAAUGCACAAGAAACAGAUAAAGCAACUACAAGAUCCUGGUGCUUUGAUUCAGAUCCAUACACGUAACAACAAGGAAGCAUGAUAUAGUACUAGCACUUGGAUAUGUAAAAACAAUUUUUCAUAUUAUCAUACAAUAUGAGAAUACAAUAACUAAUAGGCUAUAAACUUACCAGAAGCAUCUUCAGGAGUGCAUGUGUACCAAUGUGUGCCAAAUCUCUUUUAAUCUGAGUAUUUCCUUCAAGCUCAUCAAUAUAGCGUGAAACACUUUCUCCUUGUUCAAAUGUCUCCACAAGAACAGAAGGAUGCACAAGUGGAUAUAAAGGCCUAGGAAAAGACACAUCUCUCCAUCUGCGGAAAUUGUAGAUAAACCGGCUUAAGUGAGCAGCUUCCCGAGAAAGAUCAACUUGAGACAUCAUAAAAACUGCAAAUUGCCGUACACUUUCAUCCAGCCUCAACCAGCUUAAACCAGGAGUUAGGCUUGAAAUUCUGGCUACAAGAUUGAUUAUCAUAAAAUCCCUCCUUAUUGAAUCACCCACACCAGGAUGCCUAACCUUCACAGCAACUUCAAUGGGUUUCUUCAACUGUUGACCUGGAUAGGCAAACCUCAAAGAAGCUCGAUGAACUUGUGCAAUGCUUCCUGAUGCUACUGGUUUUUCCUCAAAGUACUCAAAAAUUUCAGAAAGUUUCCGACCAAACGCCUUCUCGAUGGUGGUUUUGCUGUACGCAAAACUAUGAGCAGGUGCUUUUGUAUGAAGUUUUGUAAGCUCAAGGCAUAGAUCUUUCGGAAAGAGGUCUGGGCGUGUUGCUGCCCACUGACCCCAUUUUAUGAAUGCAGGACCAGCUCUCUCCAGAGUGCGAUGGACAACCCGAAGCCAUCUUUUCCUGAAUUCAAGUCCGAAACUAUCCGCAAAGGGUGCUAACAAGAUAGCUGGCAAAAAUAAGAUCGACAAGUACGCUGCUCGCAAUACCAAAAUAAAACCCUCUAUGAUAGAGAAAAUUACUGAAGAGAAGUAAAGGCUGCGAGCUUCUGCUUGCAUAAGAAGACCAUUUCUUGAACUAUAGAAAUUGCCAUCUGCCCAUGCCUUCUGAGCCCAUGCCAACUCCCCAACACUAAAUGCAAGAAAACCAGGAACUACUUGAAACCGAGUGAAAGACAAGCUCACAGCACAGGCUAACUUACUUAUCAUAGAUAAGGCUGGACCGUCAUACGAACAGAUUAGACUAAGCCUCUCCCAAGCCAAUUUGGCAUGAUGGGUCGCCGAAUAAUUACUCCUCGACAUUGUGUACAAGCUCUUCGUGUAGCUAGAGCUACUUCCGUUAACGUGGCCCAUACCCUUGUGUCGUCCAAGCACGUUAUUACCUCCAACAGGAAACCUAAAUUGCGAAAAAACUCUGAACAAGAGAAAAGGUAGCCCUUUCUUCCUAAGCGACCCAUGACUCCUCGAAGCUAAGAAGUCAAUUCUCUGAUUUGACUGGAAAAAGUACCCCGCCUUUUUAUUUUCUUGAGAUAUCAAUAACCUACAUGAUCAUCAAAGGUUUGUCGUUUCAAGUAAUCGCAACAUUCAAUGCUCUAAUUUCUCGGGAACGCAUUUGCGAUCAAGGUCGACGAUUUGAACCACUCAAAAUAACUAAGAACAAAUAAGCUAGUAUUUUAAUGUUACACAAAAAAAAGGAAAUCUGUUUUACCAAAGAAACAGAAUAAGUACAAGAAAACCAUUGCAACGAUACAUAAUUGAAACCUCAAAAUCAACCAAAGAAAUAAAUGAAAGUUUUGGGACGGGAAAAUAAGAUAGCGGAGGGAGGGAAUACCUUCCAUGAAACGCCAGGAUGCGGAACAUUGGGGAUAGUUCAUAACCCAACGGCUCGAGAAGAGAUCGGGAUUUGGAAAGAUUACCGAUACAGGGAAGAGUUUACCAGAUUGGCCGACAACAUCCCAAACUUGUUGGAGAAAUCAUCGGAGCAGAGAGACAUUUGAAUUGUCCUCGGCGGCUGAAGUGGUCGCUAGGGCGAGAGCGCAUCACCGAACGGAUGACUGCGUCCAAAACCCACCAGGCCUGGUUUUCAAUGGCGGUGAGAAGAAGAAAUAGCACGCAAGUUGUGGCGGUCGCAGUAGCAGUAAUGGUAGGGGAGGGAGAGGGGGACGUGCGAAGGGUUUAUUCCGCUCCAAGAAACCAUAGGGCCAACCAAUAUCCGGAGAGUUCGGAUGUCUGCCCUAGGCCACCAGACAGCGCCAGGCCAAACGGUUCGGCGUUCGACAGCAUAAACGAGGGAACGAGACUACGUGGUCCGACCGAACCACUUCAUUCUCGUGGGGUCCGCCCUAAUCAGUCUGUCAAGCAACGUUCAUGUAUCUUUCACUUCAUAUUGAAAAGUAAUCACAUAUUCCAAAGAGAUAUAAUGGUUUAUAUUUAUAUUUAUAUAUAUAUAUAUAUAAGAUUCUAGUAAUUAAUUUUAGUAAAUUAAAGUAAUUUUAAUUAAUUUUUAAUUUUUUUUAAAGUUUACUUAACUUAAUUUUAGUAAANNNNNNNNNNNNNNNNNNNNAUAAUGGUUUAUAUUUAUAUUUAUAUAUAUAUAUAUAUAAGAUUCUGUAAUAAAUUUUUGAAAUUAAGAAUUUAUAUUUAUUUUUUUAAAGUUCACUAAUUUUGAAAGGACAAAAUGAGUAUAUUCACCUUCCAAAAUGGAUAAUUCUUAACGAACCAUCACACCAAUAAUAAUCAAAUAUAACUUAUUUGAAGGUAUAGUAUAUAGCACAAGAUCAAUGCUUAGAGUGUAAAGCUAUGAUCGAUUUGGUAGACCGCAACCUAUUUAACCGAAUGGAGACUUGACAUGGAGACUAAGGCCCAUGGAUCAUGUUCGAGAAGGCCUGAUCCGGUAAUUGGAUUUCGUUUUUGUUGCGACAAAGCCUAGAACGUUUCACAACAUGACCAAGAAAUGGGCUGCUAGGAUGAUCCCACCAACUUCUUGUCUGCCUGUUGAGAGCUUCACAUCAUUACGGUCCAAAUCCUGCUAAACUCUCACCGCUUACUUAUCUUUGGAAGGAAAUCGAUAUCGCCUACCGUUACCGCUGGAAAUUAUGCGUUUGCCUAUACGACGACUAAAGAGAAUUGCUGGCGAGGUCUCGUAUAUCCCAAUCGCAAAACGUCCGCAGAAGGUGCAGCCAAGAUAGACCUGUCAUUGUUGGCUACAGAGACGUGCAGAUGGGACGACGAUGGCCUUUUCAUUUGCUUGGCCAGUGGGCUUCCAACGAGGUGCUUUAUUUUUCUUUGGUCGAACGACGUGUUCUAAUCCAAAGUGCAUCGACUUUGAGCAGAAAGCUUCUGUAGAAUAAACGAGGGUGGCUUUGACCGUUCCUUUGGGACUUUGUGUGUCACUGAUGCCCUUCCAAUUUGACUUUUUGGCAUACGAAGAAUUUUACGGCAUUUGCUCGAACGUUGUUGUCACGUCCCUACGACAAUUUUCGAGAUAAGGACAUAAUGAUUCAUCCUCCUCCUCCUCCAUGUCUAUGCAAACUUCCUUAGUAUUUACGAUACGUCGUCUGAUGUCGCAAAGGCAGACAGCUUAGCCGUACGGAUAGCAGACCACGCGCCUGGCAACAUACACCGUCGUCUUUCACGUGGGACGUAUUGUUUUGGUUGUACGUGGAAAAUAGCGUACUGUAUGGCCGCCUAAUAGUUGUCCCCACUACCGUUCACGCAAUAAUGAGACGAGAGUAUACCUUUCGCGCUCAUUCACAAUGCAGGCCACGAAGUGCAUACAUACGUACACGUAAAUCUCAUCGACAAUUUCUUGCGAGUCGUCUUCUGGUGCAUGUAUGACACCAUGGAUGUCUCGUUGUACUCCUCUCGAUUACCAUGCAGAUCGAGUGGUGAAUCUGACAACACCUAGUUAGCCAGCCUUCAUAUACCAGUGCAGGUGCUUCCGGACUUCUCCUCGAAGAAUCAAAUUAUGUGACACUCGUAUUUGAGAACAAGAAGUCACCCCUUUCCAGCAAUAAACUGAAGCUAAAGACACCUUAUUCAUUUGGUUCGAGGCUGAAAGUAGCACAGCCUGAUUACAUAGAAUUUCUAAGCGCUGACAGAGACAUGUCGGAAUACGUAUAACACAAUAAAAACAUGAGAAGAAUCCUUUUUCUGAAUAAGAAAAAAGGUGGAGAAGGAAAGAAAUGAGAGUAAGUAACAUUCAUUUCUCUCGUUUCUCCUUUCUGUUCUCCGUCUUUUUUUUCUUCGCAUGUAAUUGCUCACAUCCAAGAGAGAUCAGAGAUUUGAUAGUUGGAACAGGCCACUGAAAUCUCUCUCCUUCUCAUCUUCGAUGCUACUGUUCACCGCGUACGUCACCGAGGAGUUCAACUGGGUCGGACUCGAUGAAGGUGUCAAUAAUUCAGAGGCCGCAUUACGAUUUUGACGAUUGUUUGUCCAAUAUGUAUUGGAGGUGUUGACCAUCGGUUGGAAGAAGCAUGGAUCCAAGUUUCCAUAGUUGACACCCGCUGCUGCCACUAGAUUAGGUUGCAUCACGAUAUCUUGCAACGGGUUGACAUCUGAAGUUGGAUGGAGCUGUGCCUCAUCAAAGAAUGGAUCGUUUGAAGCAGUGGAAGAACGUAGUUUCUUAGAUGGAUUUAAUUGUAGCUGUUGUGCUUGAAAAGAAGCUAUUUGGUCUUCAACUCGGACUGUCGGGUACUGUUGCUCUUGAAGGUUUCGAUCAAGGAUAUCUGAGUAUUGGCAUUGAAAGGAUAAGAGGUUGGUGGCCAUCAUCAGUAGCUCGCAUUUGACGUGUGGUUCGAGACCUAAUAACACAGAGACGUCGAGUUGUGACGUCGGGUUGAGCAAGGACGGUGUGUGGAGCGAAGAGGGGUCGAGGAGAUGAAGGCGAGGGGUGUGGGUGACAGGAUCGAUGCCCAUCCCGAGAAGCUUCCUCCUGAUGUGCGUGUUCCAGUAGUUCUUUAUCUCAUUGUCUGUUCUUCCCGGCAAGCGAGCAGCGAUCGCCGACCAUCUGUGUGUAAUCCAAGAUGAGAAUAUCAAGCACGUAAGUCAAGGUUUUCUUCUAACAGGAGGCCUAAAUCCGAGAGACUUGGCUACAACUUACUUGUUGCCCAAAAUACCAUGUAGUCGGAUGAUUGUCUCCUCCUCUUCAAAAGAGAACCUCCCUCUUUUGAUGUCAGGCCGCAGGUAGUUCGUCCAUCGAAGACGGCAGCUCUUGCCACAUCUUGCGAGGCCUAUCCACGUGACCGCAAGCGAGUUCAACAAUAAUGCAAGACUCGGGAAAGUAAUCGAUGCUUAUAUCUGAUGUUUCCUUACCAGCUUUACCGGGGACAGUUCUCCAAUUGCGUUGCCCAUGCUUCUGUAUGUAGUCGAUGAGCUUCUGGUCCUCUUCAGGUGUCCAAGCCCCCUUCUUCAAUCCAUUCUUGGGGCAACAAGGUGGUCUCCCCAUGUCCAACUAGUGUGAUUUCGGGACAGACGAGUGGAAUCGAUCUCGACCUUCAGGGAGAGACGAGUACUGGUCUCAUUAUGGACAGACGGAUACAAGACUAACUGUACGUAUGGUUUAUAUAGAACGGAAGAUCCACGAAAGGCUGAGAGGGGGCAGGGAAGUCUAACGGAUUCCGUGCCGGCGUAUGUGUUUCACGCUGGCGACACCUCUCUUCGUGGGCGCCAACCUUUCGAGGCUUUAAAGACCCAGUAAAGUUUUGGAACGAAGGGUACACAACCAUUAAGGAAGGAGGGAACCUCCAACCUUAUCUGGCCAUCACCAUGGGCUGAUUUCAACCACGUGUUGACACGUAGCCGAGUGAUGGGAUGCAGAAGUGACAGGCGGUUGGUCCCACCAUCGUGGGCUUUCCUUUCCCCCGCCUUCACGGAGGUCUUGCUUGGAUGUCUCGUGCGAUUACAUAAGCCGUGGCACAGAUGACAGCAGGGAUGAUGUCUGCACCAGUACGAACGGUAGCAGGAUUACUGGCGAACCAUUGGAGCAUCCCUGAGCUUUCCGGGAAGUGUGCGGUGUUGAACCAUAGAGAUCUGAGAGUCAAACCUAAGGAACCAAGGUUGAUGAAACGGGCCGCUGUCAUGGCUUAGGAAGAUUUCAAGAUGAUGUACCUCCUUGUCUCUUGCAGAGAAAUAAAUGUUUCGGAGGUUUCUUACAAGAAACAUGCUGCAAGAAUAAUGCACCAUAUAGACACCAAUCGCAAUUACUUCUCAACAGGAACUACUCACCUUGACAAAACUUCACAGCGAUGCAGAAAGCGUUAGGAAGACUCAAAUGUGAUCCUCUUCUCAUGGACGAGCUGCAUAUUGUAACAACAGCGAAGACUUUCGAGAUCAUACACCAUGCAAAAUCUAAUAAAUCAAUGCACUGAGAUGGCCCAAGACACGUUACAAUCGAUGCCACGCUACAGCCAGGUCAGUAAGGGGAGCACCCUCACACGUUAAGUCAGAAUCCGUACCGAAACACUGGUUGGCAUGUCCCGUCCCGAAAGCUCGGGCGGCACCGUCUGACACCGUCCUGCGCGUCCCGGGACAACGACUGCAAAGUACUGUCUUGUCCCCCGAGGAUCAGCUACCACAUCGAAUCCACGUGUGACCGACCCUCGUACAAUAAUAUAAAACCGACCCUCGUACAAUAAUAUAAAAAUCUAUGACCAGCAUCCGGUAAAAGAGGGAGGAGGACAUAAAAGAGAAGAAAAAAAUAACUUCUGACUUGCUUGUCGGAGGGGCCAAAGUCGGGAAUCACCUAACGAAGGUUAUUUUUUGCAAGCAAGCGACCACCCCUGAGCCACGAGCAUCUCGACCUAGGACUCACCAUCCAAUAAACGAGAACGAGCUGCCAACCAGCCCGGGAAUGGAGAGACGCUGCUCAACGCAGACGACGCCCGAACCGAGAAACACUGAUCAACACCCCGUCACGAGGGCCCGGCCUACCUCGACGUUCAACUCAGUCAAUAAAGAACUCCCGACAUCGACCCGUGGACCGAGCCAUGCUGACUCACCAACCACGAUACAUUUGUUUACCGACACUCACCAUGUUUUACAUGAGCUUUCUGUUUCAGAUCACUGCCAAUAUGCUGUAUGCUGACAAGGGAUUAAUCUUUUGUUAUAAGAUGCUGAUUGACAAUUGAAGAUGGUAAUAUCAAUGUUGCAGAUUGUACAAGGGAGUCGAGUGAAUGAAGGAAAGCAGCCGAAUAGAUUUUGUGAAUCUGGAUUCUCCUACUUCAAAAUAAGACAUUCCGAAUGUAAAAUAUAGCUGCAUAUACAACAGGAUUAGGAAAAAGGUACUGGAUUCUCUUGAGGCUUCUUCCAUGAUUCAAUUAGGAAAAAGGUACUGAACAGGCUGAAGCUUUGUCAACCAAUCACUGGCAUGGUUCAUAACUUGAAGGUCACAGAACGGAAAUCUCCUGUGCACUUUGUGAUGGCCUCAUUAGCUUUCUGAGUUCCCGAUCUUUCUUCUCUCUUCUUUUUUUCUCUGCAUAAAUGGCAGUCGACAUAGCUACAUCAGAAUUCAGAAAAUUCAAACAUUUUUCAAACUUAAAUUCUGCUAUCUAAGAUUUACAGCAAACAAAUAUAUAAUAUUCUUCGAUUAGUAAUAUUUUAGGUUUUCCCGAUUUCCAAGAGUCAGCCAAUAUCAUGAAAUCCAGUUAACUAUUUAUCAAAAAUUUUGCUCUAGACACAUAUAUAAGACCAGAUAUUUAUAUUUUCAACAAUUACUUUCAUUGGAAAAGCUGUGUUUUAUCCUAAAGAAAUGUAUGAAUCAGAAAUAAAUCAACAAAGUGCACAAAUAGCACUUCUCGAUAUUGUGUGAUGUUUAAUGCAGUGUUCACCCAACUUCAUCUGUAAUUUGAAGACCAAGACAGAACAACUUCCAAAACUAAUCAUUUACCUGUCCACAUAUUCCUUCAAAAGCUCCUUUGCUUGAACUAAUUUCGACAGAAGAUUGCGAUACACAUCAAGAUCUCUAUCCACACUGCGUUUAUUUAUAUUCAGUGCAGCACAAAGCUGUGAAACAGAAAAAAAUGAGUCAAUGCUAACCCAAGAACAAGGGUAAACCAGGCUUUCAUGAAUCAGAACACAGUGUAACGAGCAGUUGCAUAAGUUUAGACAAUGAUAAACUUGUGCACCAUAUGGGCUAUAUAUUGUCGCUGAGACUGUAGCUGAAUCCAGAAAGAAGAAACCAAAGUUGUAUACAAAAAGAACAUACAAAAUUGAAUCAGCAUUUUUUUUCAGCAUGUUUCUGGGGAAAAAAAGAAGAACUGACCUACAAAAUGAAAAUUACCAAUUAGAGAUUUAGUUCAUGAGGAUGUGUGAUUUCAUUUUCUCGAGAAGUUAUAACCAUGCAAGCUAAAAGUAAAUAUUUUUAGGGUCCUGUAAAUGGAUGUCUUGAAGCAUUCAUUAAUAAUGCCCUCACCAUAUUUAAUUAUGUGAUGUAGUGGAAGUUCUAAGUGUCAUAUAUGGAUCAAACUGUCUACACCAUGUGCAAGACAAAUUUUCUUAACAUGAAGUGACCAUGCUAUUAUUUUCCAAAUUUAUAAAACUAUCUUUCUAUCUUCACUAUCAGUAUGAAUAUUAACAAUAAAGAGGACAUCUCAAACUAGUCAUCAUAGUCUCCUAGAAAUAGGGAUGCAGAAGUGGAUAAAAUGCCAAAAAAAUAUAUUUAUAAUGUUCAGAUAUUCCAGAAGUAAAUAAAAAGGUUAGAAGUAAGAUGGUUCAGUAUGAAAGCAGCAGGUAUCUACAACAUUUUUUUAAUAGAGGAAAUAAAAAGAAAAGGAAGAAGAAAAUCAUCAGGAAUUAAAAGAUAAAUAGUUUAUGUGAUGGAAAAAGUACAACCUUUUCCAAGACUGUAGGUUCAGUUGCAUUUGCCAGCUCAAGUAGACGGAACAGUCCGAUCGCAAAGAAUCGACUGUAGCUGAAGUUUCCCUUACUCAGUGCCCGCUCUGAGAUAUCUUUCAAAAUGGUCUCUACUUCUCCUUCUCUGGUGGAGAACUCUAUUAAUGAAUUAGCAGUCUGAGCACGAGCCCACUCCUCCAGCUUUUUGGCAUCACUUCUGCACAACCAAUAAUCAACAAGUUCAUUGUUAUUGAAGGUUGGUGGUACAAAUUUAUAAAAUAUUGGAUAGAAGCUAACAAAACUUACAAUGUCGUACACAUAUACAUCACUGAAUGUACUUCUAACCAUAUAGGUAUAGUAACUUGUAUGAAGAAGCAUUCAACUAAGCUGUGGUCUCGAUAUGUGUCACAUAUCAGUUGCAACAAAAUCAGUCUUCAAAGCUUAUGGUUAUAUUGGAAACCAAGUUACAGAUAGCAGCAAGACAAAAAUGCUUGCUAAGGUACACAGUUGCAAAGAUUAAUCAGGCCAUCCCAAAGGUGUUCUUGCAAUGUAUUUAGGCGUAAUAACUUGCCAAGAAGCAUUAAUUGGGUAUUCCUGUUUAAACAUCACUCCUAAAGGCAUUUUGGUGAUACUCUAUAACUGUUCUAGAGUUGGGUCAGGUGUGAAAUAGAAUAGGGAUAGUAGCCAUUUAAACUGAUCACCCUUGGAUUGUAUCAACGUGUUAUAAAGGACAAACUUAUUGGAAAAGGCUCAGCUGACACAAAAAUGGCAAAAACAAUCUCGUUGUUUAAAAAUUCUGUCCUGAAUUAUAUAAUAGACCGAGCUGCAAAAUAGAUUGUGGCCUCAGAUAUUAUUAAUGUGAAGUUAUUCCAUGGAUGCCUAGAUGGUGACCAACUUUUGUCAUCUUCGUCAUAUUCUUUUUUAUUGUGUGGCUUGUACCAUAAAAAAUUCCUAAUUAAUUCUAUUCUCCUUAGUUUCCCUGAUCAACUGUUACUACACUAUGGUUCCUCUUAAGCAAGUCCAGCAGCCUCAAUCUGCAUCAAUUGAUAGCAAAGUGGAUUAUGGGGCAAAUGUAACACUGAAAUUAGCCUAUCGCUAAUAUCCUGGCUUUCACUCAGUUUCCGGUCUAUUUCAUCCUUUGUUCAUAAUCUUAUAUCAUAUCAUCUUUUAGCUAUAACCAAGAAUACACUAUGAUCAAAAGAGUGGAAAUGAGGUCAAAGCAGACACAAGGACCAAAUGAAACUGAAGUUGAAGUACUUAAACAAGGUGAAUGAUCAAAGAAUAUCUGAACGGACAAGGACAAAAAUACGUGACAAGCCUCGCAAUAUAUAUAUAUAUAUAUAUAUAUAUCUAUCUGUUAGGAUCAAGAGCGGGGUUGGCACUAAGAGGGGAGGGGUGAAUUAGUGCAGCGGAUAAAAUCACGUCUUCAAAAAACCUUCGUACGAUAAAAGCUGAUUUCAACGAAAAACCGAUUUCGGAAACUUAACUUGAAAGCGUACGUAAAUGUAUUGAAGGCAGUAAGCUAUUAAAGAGGUUUGCAGUAAAGAUAAAUGACAGGAAGUAAAUGCAAACCAGAGAACACAGCAGUUUUAGAGUGGUUCGGUCAACGUGACCUACAUCCACUUUCGGCUUCCUCCUCCGACGAGGUCACCGACGUCCACUAGAGGCCUUCCUUCGAUAGGCGUAGGCCAAUCACCUUUUACACCCCUCUUCUCCUUUUACUGAGUUUAGGAGACAACCCUUGCAAGCACUCACGUACUCCUCUCUCAAACUAGUCUAAUACUUAGAAGAGGGAGAGGAGUUCACACAAGAUUUUAGCAGCGUUUCUUUCUUUUUUAAACUCUCUGUGCUUGUAUGCUUUAACCACUUUCCCAUCCCGGGUUCCCCGGGCACGGGCGGUACCAUCACCUGCGCUGGGUGGUACCACCGCCCAGUGUCAGUCUGACACUGACACUGCCCUGGGCGGUACCACCGCUCAGAUCUGGCGGUACCACCGCCUGGGGGGCAGUGCUAGGCGGUACCACCGCCUGACACAGUCUCGAACACUGUGCCAUAACGGUGAGACUUCUUGGGGCACAGUUCUUACAUGGGCCUAGCUGGCUCCUAAUUGGGUUGGCCCAAAUCCAAACCCAAUUACGUGCUAAUUACGAUCUAAGACAUAAUCUGAGCUAAACAAGUCCGUAAUUUUAUUCUUCUGGCGAGCUUCCGGCGAUCUUCCGACGAUGUUCCGGUGGACUCCCGACAAGCUCCUGGACUUCACGACGAUCUUCUUGGCGAGUUCCAACGAGCUUCUAUGGCAAGCUUCGAGACUUCUCGAUUGGUUCCGCCAGAACUUCCGAUGAACGUCCGAACUUCCGACGAACUCUCGAACUCCCAACGAAGUCGUGUCCUUGACUCCGGGACUUCAUUUUGCUUCAUGCCUUGCUAUCGUAAUUAAUCAUGCACAUGUAAAACACAUUUCGAUCUAGACAAUUCAUACUAAGCAUUAAUCAUGUUGUCCGGCAUGUCAUUGGUCCCUUGACGCUUCGUUCGAUUCUUCGGCGCAUCGUCCUCUCUUGCGGCCUAUUGCCCAAUCGGCCAGUUGACUCCGAAACUCUGAUAUCCUUGGUGCAAUAUCCGCUCUUCUUGGCCCGAUGCUCGAAUCCAUGGCACGAAGUCUUCUGUCGAUACGUCGACCGAUCCACUGGCACAACGUCUAAUCUUCUGACAUGUUUUCCCCCGACACAACAUGAUUCUUCCUGCUUUAAUUGUCUCAUCCUGAUCGAAGCAUCCUGCGUCACUCAAAACGCAGAUUAAAACAGAAACACUUAUCGAUUGGUUUCAUUAUCAAAAUCCAAGAUUCAACAAUAUCCUCAAAUCAAAAUUGGGCAUGUAACUCCCACAAAUGAACACUAAUAAAGAAUGAGCAAUAGUAAAUAGCCACACACCACAACCACCAUGACUUCUCUUGACUGAACAAUGAGCAAUAGUAAAUAAAGCUCCCACAAAUGAACACUAAUAAAGAAUCACCCUUCACUUUUGUAACUCCACAAAUGAACUGACAAAAUUGCGGGCAUGUAAGACCAUAAAAAAUUUUGUAAAGGCUAGGCAAAACUUUCAAUAAUUCCUAGAAUAAAAAUUGAUAGAACCAUUUAUUUAAAGUUAUCUGGAUAAAGUAAACGAAUUUGUGCAUUUUUUAAAAAGCAUGCAUAAUUACAAAAGAGGUAGCAGGUAGAUUGGAAUAAUCAAGCACCUGUACUGCUCAGGAUCCUCCUUCAAUGCCUGAAUAUAUGCCUGGAAGAUGGCAUCUCGAUCCUCACUGUUUGGAUACCCUUCCAUAAGCUGUUCAUAAACAGUUACGAAGCCAAGGGCAAAGACAGCAUCAUACUGGUAGGUCCUUUUGUAUCUCAUCAGAUGUUGCUGCACAAGCAGCUCUUGCAAUACAGUGUUGUAUAUGCUUGGAAUGGGCCGCUUGUAUGACUUGAGAAAAUUCAAUUUUGUUUCGGAUACAGUGGGUGGCGCAUCUAAUCAGUAAAAGUAAUAACAUAUACUUACAAACAAACAUUUCCUCCUGAAUUAUGUCAAAUUUCACUAAAAAGGAAUAGGAAGAAAUAAAAAAGAUGAAGGUUAUGUUUUAUUCCUUUUGAAAACAACAGUAUUAAUGUACAUGCCAUUACGAAGCUGCUUUCUGCAGCCAUCUAUGUUUGUGCAUUUUACUAUCGCCAAACCCCCAUGGUGGGGUUGUCGGGAUAGUUAAUCUACAGCACAGAUAUACAUACCAAAUGCUCUGGAAGCGUUUCUUGGGGAUUGAGUGAAAUGAAACUAUAAAUACAGAGGAAAAAUACGCCUUGUAAGUAUAACCCUAGUUCUUGAAAUAAGAAGAUUUCGAAUCUAUAAACCGCGAAGAAAACUAAAAUUACAGCGGGCAGAGAUGUGCCAAACAGGAAUAUAAAUUAUUGACGCUUCAUGCUGAAAAUUAGAACUUCAAGCGCACGGAAACGAGUCGGGCUAGUCGAAAUGAAAACAACGAGAUAAGAAGCACCAAGAACAGAGUUGGCGAAAAGAAAUUAUAAAAAGCUCACAGCUUGCGGCCGCCACGCAGCGGACUACCAUCCGGGAGCUGAACUUAGGGGCUUCAAAUCGGAAUCCACGGAGGGCAGGACCAGCGAAGGUCAGUCUCCUCUCGGCGGCUUGCCUACAAGGCGAAGCGAAGGAUACGGAUGGUAUGGAGGCCAUCUAGGGCUUAUUUAGGGCUCACUCUCUUACGAGACGUCCGAAGGAGAGAUAAAAAAAAAAGGAAAGGGCAGAACAAACUAGGGUUCCGAGGGAAGGAUGAUGGUCGUCGCCGGCGGCGGGAACAGCAUUACGGGGACGGCGAGCAGGGAGGCGUCCCUUGUGAGGAAGAGAACGGCCUUAUCUCGGGUUUCGGAGAAAGCAUCUCAGCCAGUAACAUGAUGCCACUUGGCAGAUUCUUUCCGAAGAUCCUCUGUAGCACAAGAAAUAUAUUAUUAUUUUUAAUUUCUUUUUAUCCAUUUCGGAUAAUGAUUUUUCGUCGCAGUAAAUGUUUGACUUCUCUUUGUAAAUAUUUUCGGCUCAUAUCUACAAGACACGUAUUUCAAUUACUUCUUAAAUAUUCUACUAUAUAAUAUGGUGGAAAUUGUCAUAAGGUCACUGACAGCUACGACCAUGAAACCAACACAAGCCUCGCAGACCUUUCAAUGCCCAACAUUUUAUCCCAGCUUAACAAGCCCACAGUCCACCCUCUCUGAAUCAAGCCUGGCUAAUUGGCUAAUUGGGCCAAAAUGGGCCGUCUCCGGUGACCACACCAGGCGUAUACCCGUUGGACGUCACUCCUCACCGUGCAUGGAGGGCUACGGAUCGAAAUCCCGUCCGUCGGACGGAUGAAGGACGGAAACCUUUGACCAAUCAGCUCCAUCGAGUACAAAAGCAACGCAGUCGAUUCCUCGUACGAUCCAAUGGCUAGAACCGCUCUGUGUACUACGUGUCAGACGAUCCAUGCAAUUGCACCAAAAAGCUAAAAGAGCACCGAGGAUACGGAUGAGGUUCCUUCCUGGGACGCAGAUAUUUUUACUUGCUCCGUGCCAGGUCAGCACCUUUUCGAUUCCAGACGCUUCCUCCUCUCACCGACACGUGCCCCUUGGCCUUCCCGGCCUUUUCCCGAUUUCUUCACUGCUGCUCUCGGUGUCCACUGGCUACAGUCGGUAGCUUCGCCCCUUGCCCUGCUCUCCCCUUCCUCUAUAUAAACCCUUCACGUCCUUCUUUCCCUACGCCUUCACUUUCGUCGGAUUCGCCAGCGCGCCGGUGCGGUUGUCGUCGAGUCGGUUUGCGACUGUGUGGUGGCACACAAUUGGAGGGGCGGGAGAAUGAGAGCGGUGAUGGGACUCAAGGAGCAGGCCGUGAAGUCAAUUAAAGAUACUGCCGGUGGCGUGACCUCCGGCUCGCACAGAGCUAGACGGCUGUCCGGCGGCCUCGACUCCUCCUCCCAUGAUUUCAAGCCUGCCGAGGCCCGCGGUGAGGGUAAGGUGAAGAGGGCCGAGGAGUCCUUGCGCACCGUCAUGUACUUGAGCUGCUGGGGUCCCAAUUAACCUGAUCUAUAUGCCAUCCCCUUUUGUUCCUCGAUAGAAGUAUCGAUCACCUCUUCGAUGCAUACAAAAGAAGAAGACUCAUCGUUAGUGUCAGUGUAUAUAUAUAUAUAUAUGUAUAUAUAUCGGCUUCAAUGACUUUGUGUGCAUGGCUGUAAAAAUUCCAUUGUAAGAAUGUACAAAAAGCUGAGGUCUUGGGGAAGAUAAUGGAUGUUUUACCUUGCUCUGUAAUUCCAUGGUUUCCUGUGGUAGCAAAAGUUCUUGUUGAAACUGUUGCCUCUUCUCUUGCUAAUAGUUAGUGCAAGCAGCUGAGCCGUAUAAUAAACAGAGGAAGAAACAGAGGGGAACAAUAUAAUAAUUGGAUUGAUUGAUUGAUUGAUUCAAUGAGGACGAGACAUACACGCAGACGAUAAUAAUUGGACUUGUGAACCAUGAUUGAGGCCCCGCCGUAUUAAUGAAUUAUAGGGCAUGAUUGUGAUGGAUGGGAUCAAGCGACGGAUACAAACGAAAUGGUUGUCGACCGCAUUGUACUAGUCCUGGAAUCGGAAAGAAGCGUUCGCCGCUGUCAAAGGGGCCAUCUUUCUUUGGAGCUUCUCGGUGGCCUAUCCACGAGACAUGGUUGUGGUGAGAUGGGUUUGACAACGUUAGAACGGUGCCUGUUUGCCAUUAGAUAUUAACAACGUACAUUUCAAUCUGUAUGUGCACAUAUAAUGCAUAAACUAGUGAAGAUUACUUUGGAACUUUGACUUCCUACUGGACCUACACAUUAUAUUAUAUUUCUUAGCCCUACAAACCAGCCGACUCACGCAAUCCGUCUAAUAUCUAUCUAUAGCUGAUUAUUAUGUUCCUCACGCUGUGCUUUCUUUGCGUUCCAAGAGAUGAAUUAACACACCGAUUCUAAUUGGGUUGCAGAUACAGUGUUUGGACAGCGACUCGACAUAAACCCAGACUCGAUAUCAAACUAAUCUUCGGACGUCACAGCAGCAUACGAGUUCAUGUCGAUUGUAUGGCUGUUUAGACGAACUCCA
Molecule: long non-coding RNA, 24695 nt
Filed under: Musa acuminata (dwarf banana)
Lineage: Eukaryota; Viridiplantae; Streptophyta; Magnoliopsida; Zingiberales; Musaceae
Description: long non-coding RNA (MACU_LNC005102)
Source: RNAcentral